ACCACUUGAGCAUAACCAAUCUACAAGAAAAAUGACUUCGAUAUCAAUAUUACCAGUAAAUAGUAGUUCUACACCGACUAGUAAUGAAUCUAUUUGUGAUAUUAUUGAUAUUGAUGAAAAUGGAAAAAGAAAGUUGACAUCUGAUGUGUGAAAUCAUUUUAAGAAGAUAAAAAUUGAUAGAAAAGACAAAGCACAAUGCAAUCAUUAUAAAAAAUAUCUUUUAGGAGGGA
RNAcentral lists this long non-coding RNA (230 nucleotides) under Elaeis guineensis (African oil palm). RNAcentral's name for it is "long non-coding RNA (EGUI_LNC019954)". Lineage: Eukaryota; Viridiplantae; Streptophyta; Magnoliopsida; Arecales; Arecaceae. The record is from RNAcentral.